This 1393-nucleotide long non-coding RNA is filed under the name Citrus x clementina. RNAcentral's name for it is "Citrus clementina (C. clementina) long non-coding RNA (CCLE_LNC001307)". Lineage: Eukaryota; Viridiplantae; Streptophyta; Magnoliopsida; Sapindales; Rutaceae. The record is from RNAcentral.
GGUACCUUCGCCCUUUGGAGCUGCUUCUGCAAUACUGAUUCUUUUUUAAAUUAAUAAUUGGCUGCAUAAAAAAUGAAAUGGGCUACACUUAUACACGCAUUAGCAAGCAAUUUAUGAUCUGCAGAUAGAAGUAGCACUAUGUGGUAUGUAAUGGAAACUUAGCUGCGCAUUGAAAGUUAACAAAUUAAUCACAUUUGGUAGAUAGUAUUUUACGUACAUCACCACCUUCAUGAAUAAAAAUAUUACUCCAAAAGUUGCUUCCAUCAUCACGUUGUUGCCAUUCGUAAAUUUGACUACAGUAAUGUAUUAAUUGUAAAUAUCGUCUCACUAUAUAUCUAUACCCACAUCACAACUUUUUCAAUUAAUGGAGAGUGAACCCAUUUUCAGUAAGCAUGCCUCUUCAAAUUGGAUAACGCAUUUGUGAGUAGAUUUCUUUUUUAUAUAUUUAUAUUUUUUGCAUAUAUAAAAUAGUAAUUUAAUUUAACUAAUGAGUUCCACAUGUAGGUGAAGGUGGAACAAUUAAAUUUGUCCUUUCCUUGUCAUUUUCACCCAAGUAUCCUUCUCUGUCGGCCAAAGAAUUAAUUCUCAUGGCAUUUUACAAGGAAUAAUUCCAUACAUGAUACAUCAUAUGAUGUUCCUAUAAGAAAAUAAAACCAUUAAUUACCUAGGUAGAGGCGGUGCGUUGCUAGGCUUAUACAUCUUGAAUUAAUCCAGUCAAGAAAUUAACACCGUUUUUCAUGUCUACCGUCUGCACAAAUUACUGGUGUUAUUUUAAAGGGAAUCCGACACAAGUGAUGAAGCCUCCCGCCGACACAAUCCAGCCAAUGGCGACGGUGAGCCCAGGCAGCUGUGUGCCCCCAUGCAAAAAGCUAGUCAACGGUGUCGCAGCUGUCUUCUUCACCACUCUAGAAUGGUGCUCUUGCGUUUACACUGGCACCAUUGAUGAUACAGAUGAUGAUACUAAUCACUUGCCAUUGAUUCGCAGCAAUGAACAUCUUCCUCAUCAGCAGCAAAUCAUGGGUCAAGCCGCGCAGAAAAUCAAAAUUCGAGAUUAACUCAUACGAUUAAUUGACGGCAUGCAAAAUGCUAUGUGGUUCCUUAAUUUGGUAAUUGUGCGUGCUUGCAUAUAUGGAAGAUCCAUAUUGUAAAUUGUAUGUUAAAAAUUACAGUUAUGAAAUAGAAUAAUUAAUUAAAAUCGAUAUGUGCUUGUCAAUUAUCAGAAGAUUAGUGGAAAUAGACUGUUUAAUUUUAUUCUCUCUUCCACUCAAUAAAUUUGAGUCGAUCACGAUUCCAUGAAAGGUUUACACAGUCUUGCGCACAACAAUCGUUUAGUACUUGAUUCGGAUAGACAUCGCUGCACGCAUAUGUGCAUAUUUGUCAAAUUAUCAACAGU